UGACUAAUGUUUGCCCAUUCCACAGCGG
RNAcentral lists this non-coding RNA (28 nucleotides) under Rattus norvegicus (Norway rat). Lineage: Eukaryota; Metazoa; Chordata; Mammalia; Rodentia; Muridae. The record is from RNAcentral.